GGAACUGGAAACAGAGAGAUUCUGCAACUCUAAUAAACUGGCUUGAUAACUCUCUAUUUGAAAAAAAAAAAAAAGUAAUCAAGAUGAGGAAAAAUAAGCAAGAUGAACUGUGGGACGAUUCUGCCCUGAUUAACGCCUUCAAUGAUGCCAUCUCCAAGUACAAGAAAAUGCAUAUUCAAGGAAGCCAAGUCAGCUCAGCUGAUGGUCAAGAACAUGCUGGAAGGGUUGAUGAGAUAAGUGAUGACAACAAGGUUCCAUCAAACAGCGCUGCUGAAACAGAAGAAAAUGGUAAUGUGCCAACUGUCAAAGAAUCAUCUUUUUUGGAAUCAGAAGCUCCUGAAGACCAUGUAGUUUCAUCUACUGGGCAAGACAUCCAUCAAGAGCCUGAGGGUUAUCUAAACUUGCAGACGACUGAACACUACAAUCAGUUGGUAAACAAAUAUUAUGAGCUUGAGGAUCAGAGGCAAAAGAUUCUGCAGCAACUUAACCAGUUUGGUUAUUGGAAUUAUGAUUCUGGUUUAACUGCUUCCGUGUCUCAAGAGCCUGAAACCUCUACUUCCCAAGCUUAUCCAACAGUUCCAAGUUCUUUCUGUCCUUAUGGGUGUCAAAGUUGGGUAGCUCCAUGCACUUCAGUACCUUGUUAUUUCUCUGGUGGAGCUUGUGCUGGAAACUCUUGCAAUGCUUCUGCAAAAGGUGCUACUUCUAAAAACUUAACAUCUCCAGGAGAAACUGAUUUUGUUAAAACAGCAAUGUUUGCUGCAGAACAAGCACUGUCUUCCUUGAAGGCACAAGCUUGCACUAAUUGUGAUGCUUCUGUAAAUGAAGGGAAAGAGAAACAGUCACAGAAAAAUUUCUGUCAUUUAGAGAAAAGUACCAGUUCGGAAACAGAUCUUACUGUUGUUUUGAAUGCUUGGUAUUCUGCUGGUUUCUACACUGGCAAAAACCUCCAUCCAAAUCAGUGGGAUUAUGGGAGUGUUCUUUCAUUCUCUUCAAGUGCAGAGGGGCUUGAGGGUGAACAAACGUGAGUUGCUGCCGCGGUAGCAAUGGUAGUUGCUGUCACAGAAGAAAUGUUAGUUGCUGCCGCAUUUUGAAGGGAGGCGUUGGGAGGUCUCUCUGAGCGGUGUUGGUGGUUUUGCCGGGGAUUGCCAUUGAAGUAUUAAAAGGAGCAUGAUGAGGGAGAGAUCAUAUAGUGAGGAUUAUUGGUGGUUUCACUCUAAAGUCUAUGUUCUGAUUAUCGACUUCAAAGUUGUUAUGGUUGAAGUUGAUUUUCAAGAUAUCGACUUCUAUAAUUUUGGUAUCUUACCGAGCAGUCUUCUGCUAGGCACGGACAUGGCUAAGCCUCGCAUGUUUCAGCUAAGAAAAAUUGAAAUUUCAAGUAACUCGCAUCCAUGAUGCGUCCGAAGAAGAUCUUGCUCUACGAACAUCUAAUGGCAAACGAGAAGUGGUAUUAUGGUACCCAUGCUAUGACCAGGCAGCAAUGCCAUGGACUCUUUUGUUAGACAGCUAUGUGUGUGUUGCCUGAAUUGGUUUCACCUUUUUAGUUUCUUCUUCUCUGUACCAAGGGAUGUUUGAGUAUGUAUCAACGGAUCCUUGUAAAGUGGCAAUAUUGGCCAUUGGCAUCUUAUAAGAAAGCUAAUAUUCGGUACGUAG
This is an RNA transcript of Coffea arabica (coffee), 1650 nucleotides long. RefSeq lists it as uncharacterized. Lineage: Eukaryota; Viridiplantae; Streptophyta; Magnoliopsida; Gentianales; Rubiaceae. The record is from RefSeq and is a predicted model, not a curated record.